This 225-nucleotide long non-coding RNA is filed under the name Elaeis guineensis (African oil palm). RNAcentral describes it as "long non-coding RNA (EGUI_LNC017782)". Lineage: Eukaryota; Viridiplantae; Streptophyta; Magnoliopsida; Arecales; Arecaceae. The record is from RNAcentral.
AUAAUUCAAUCCCUCUAUCAUGAGUUCCGACUAGAUGGCAGGUCAUGGAUAAAUCGUCAAACCUCAUUAUCAGUCAUAUGAUAUAUUCGAUUAGCUCAAGUCCAAUUGUGAUUGUCAUAAAAAAAAUUUUCUAUUAAUUACACUGCUAUGGCCACAGACUCUCGAACUUAGCCUCUUAAAUCUCAUAGAAUUGCUUCUCUCCAUCAAGAUCGAUAGAUUCCUUCU